This 1010-nucleotide long non-coding RNA is filed under the name Bos taurus (domestic cattle). RNAcentral describes it as "long non-coding RNA NONBTAT024269". Lineage: Eukaryota; Metazoa; Chordata; Mammalia; Artiodactyla; Bovidae. The record is from RNAcentral.
UAUCACUAGUCUUAGAUGAUUCAAGUGACACACAGAGUUUGCACUGUUGAUAGCUUUUAUAGACUCACAAUUGUGGAGAAAAAUAGUAUCUAAAUGAAUUUCAAAAUACAGGCAUAUUUUCUGUUUCUGUGGUUAAUCUGAAAUAGAUUACUGGAAAUUAUUUAUAGGGAAAAGAAAAGCAAACUUCCAAAUGUGGAGGAAGGGCAUUACCUGAGUUCCCUGUGAUUCCCAUCUGCCUACCCCCUCCUUGGGAAGCAUGUUAUUAACUCCUUUUUGAUAAUAAUCAUGGUUUUCUUUUUGCCUUUUUUUUCCUGUGUGGACUAUUUGCUCUUGUUUUGGUUUUCUUUGGCAUUAUAAAGCUCUAAUGAUGUAGAAGGUCAGUAACAAGAUGCACAUUAGACUCAGGGCAUGCUUAGUAUUCUGGGGCACUGCUUUAAUGCCAAAAAUGGUUAAAUAAUUGCACACAAUACUUAUGGCUCUUAAUAUGCACACCGUCAGAUCAGCAGUCUGAAGAACUUGUUAGUUUUUGCACAGUACUGCACAUUUGGGAGAAGUGUGAAGGAUUGUGAUUUUGAAGAAAUUCUUAAAAAUUUACCUAAGCAUGACGGUUGCAUGCAGUAUUUGUUUCAUACUUUAGCAGAUGUACAUAGGCCUGAUCAGAUUUCUAAACCGUCACCACCACUUAAGAAGCCAGUCUGCGGACUCAGGAAGCUGUAGGAAGAAUGAAUAUGUCUGUCUGUUUCUUUUCACUGGUUUGCUAGGGAUGAAUUGUUGCCUUACAGUAAUAAAAAUACUAGUCAGUAUCAUUAACAGAGAAACAGACCAUCAUUGUUUAUAUUUUCCUGUAACCUCAUCUGAAGAGUUAUUUUAAAUCCAUAAAGCCUUUUAGAGCUUACAGCCUAUUUAGCAGUUUUAUCAUUACUGUUGGCAAAGAAAAUCACUGAAGAGCUAAUAAAGGAUGUUCUUUCAUUGGGGGAUGGGGUGGGGGGAGAAAAUACUAUCUUUCAGCC